This 1459-nucleotide ribosomal RNA is filed under the name uncultured Bordetella sp. RNAcentral's name for it is "partial 16S-23S ribosomal RNA intergenic spacer". It matches the Rfam family "Bacterial small subunit ribosomal RNA". The record is from RNAcentral. Lineage: Bacteria; Pseudomonadati; Pseudomonadota; Betaproteobacteria; Burkholderiales; Alcaligenaceae.
GGUUCGAUCUUGGCUCAGAUUGAACGCUGGCGGGAUGCUUGACAUGCAAGUUGAAUGGCAGCGACGACUGGUCUGGUGGAGGAAAAGGAACGGGUGAGUAAUGUAUCGGAACGCCUAGUAGCGGGGGGAUAACUACGCGAAAGCGUAGCUAAUACUGCAUACGCCCUCGGGGGAAAGCGGGGGACCCUUCGGGCCUCGCACUCCAGGAGCAGGCUGGAUAUCGAUUAGCUAGUUGCGGGGUAACGGUCACCAAGGUGGAUGAUCCGUAUGGUUUUGAGAGAGGACGACCAGCCACACUGGGGACUGGAGACACGGCCCAGACUCCUACGGGAGGCAGCAGUGGGGGAAUUUUUGGGACAAUGGGAAACCCUGAUCCAGCCAUCCCGCGUGUGCGAUGCCGAAGGCCUACAAAGCACCUUUUGGUAGAUAAACGGCACGGAUACCCGUGCAACGACGGCAGGUACCUGUAGAAUAGCACCGGCUAACCUGUGCCAGCAGCCGCGGUAAUACGUAGUGCAAGUGUUAAUCGGAAUUACUGGGCGUAAAGCGUACGCAGGCGGGUUCGGAAAGAAAGAUGUGAAAUCCCAGAGCUUAACUUGGAACUGCAUUUUUAACUACCGAGCUAGAGUGUGUCAGAGGGAGGUGGAAUUCCAUGUAAAGCAGUGAAAUGCGUAGAUAUGCGGAGGAACACCGAUGGCGAAGGCAGCCUCCUGGAGCAACACUGACGCUCAUGCACGAAAGCGUGGGGAGCAAAUUGCGGAUUAGAUACCCCGUAGUCCACGCCCUAAACGAUGUCAAUUCAGCUGUUGGGGCCUUCGGGCCUCGGUAGGCGCCAACGCGUGAAGUUGACCGGGGGAGAUACGGUCGCAAGAUUAAAACUCAAAGGAAUUGACGGGGACCCGCACAAGCGGUGGAUGAUGCGGAUUAACUGACGUAACGCGAAAAACCUUACCUACCUUGAUAUGUCUGGAAUCCCGAAGAGAUUUGGGAGUGCUCGCAAGAGAACCGGAACACAGGUGCUGUGAUGGCUGUCGUCACCGUGUCGUGAGAUGCUGGGUUAAGUCCCGGCAACGAGCGCAACCCCUUGUCAUUAGUUGCUACGAAGGCACUCGACGACUGCUGGUGACAAACCGGAGGUAGCGUGGGAUGACGUCAUCCUCGCGGCCUUCUUAUGCGGGCUUCGUUACCGUCAUACAAUGGUCGGGACAGAGGGUCGCCAACCCGGCGAGGGGGAGCCAACCAGAAACCCGAUCGUAGUCCGGAUCGCAGUCUGCAACCGACUGCCGUGAAGUCGGAAUCGCUAGUAAUCGCGGAUCAGCAUGUCGCGGUGAAUACGUUCCUGGCCUCGUACACACCGCCCGUCACACCAUGGGAGUGGGUUUUACCAGAAGUAGUUAGCCAACCGUAAGGAGGGCGAUUACCACGGUAGGAUUCAUGAUCAGUAGUCGUAACAAGGUAG